UUGUCCAAGUCACGUGAUCGUCGAAUCUGUUGACCUGGCGCCACCGGAAAAAGAAAUUCCCGGGCCCUGGCUUCUUGGCCUGAUGGCACUGCUAGCCUUGAAGCCUCCAGCCUGCUGGAUGCCUCCAUCCCCGGCUAUGCUGUGGCUCUCCUCAUUCUAGGCCUCCUGCUCGUCACAUUCACCCUUGUCCUGGUGCUAAAGUGGAGGGCCUCCCAUGGGGUGUUCAGCCUGGGUGUGUAGAAGCACACAGUGUGGUACAGAGGACCCUCUCCAGACAGCUGCCUCCCACCAACCCUAGAAAUGAUGCUGGGAGCUGACAGAAACUGAACUUAGGAGCACAGGAGGCCAGGAGACCUGGGACAGAGAACAGGAGGUGACCCCUCAUGCUGCUGCUCCCUCUGCUGAAACCCAAACUGCAAACCUCUCCUCUCCCUGCCUUCACCUUGCCCCACGGCUUCCACAGACAGUGCCUCAACCCCGAGGAAUGAAUCCGAAGUUCCAACACCACUGACUUUCCCAGGAACUCAGAGCCAGAGAGGGCCAAGGACCAGCUCGAGGACACACAGCCAGGGCUUCUUCCCUCCGAAACCCCCAAGGACUGGACUUGCAGGGCUGGGACAGAGGUGGGGUGGGGGAAAGCAAUGCCUUGUCAACCCACGUGGGGAGCCCCACUCCCAUCCCCAAGGUGCAUAAAGUUGAGGAACACCCCUGCU
Molecule: long non-coding RNA, 713 nt
Filed under: Homo sapiens (human)
Lineage: Eukaryota; Metazoa; Chordata; Mammalia; Primates; Hominidae
Description: HSALNT0382370
Source: RNAcentral